GACGAAGGGGGCUAGCGUUGUUCGGAAUUACUGGGCGUAAAGGGCGCGUAGGCGGUCUUGUCAGUCAGGCGUGAAAGCCCUGGGCUCAACCUGGGAUGUGCGUUUGAUACUGCAAGGCUUGAGUGCAGGAGAGGAUGGUGGAAUUCCCAGUGUAGAGGUGAAAUUCGUAGAUAUUGGGAAGAACACCGGUGGCGAAGGCGGCCAUCUGGACUGCAACUGACGCUGAGGCGCGAAAGCGUGGGGAGCAAACAGG
Molecule: ribosomal RNA, 253 nt
Filed under: uncultured bacterium
Lineage: Bacteria
Description: partial 16S ribosomal RNA
Rfam family: Bacterial small subunit ribosomal RNA
Source: RNAcentral